RNAcentral lists this ribosomal RNA (662 nucleotides) under Streptomyces sp. EGI80133. RNAcentral's name for it is "bacterial SSU rRNA". It matches the Rfam family "Bacterial small subunit ribosomal RNA", at positions 148 to 823 of the family's 1533-position model. The record is from RNAcentral. Lineage: Bacteria; Bacillati; Actinomycetota; Actinomycetes; Kitasatosporales; Streptomycetaceae.
CCCUGGAAACGGGGUCUAAUACCGGAUACUGAUCAUCUUGGGCAUCCAAGGUGUUCGAAAGCUCCGGCGGUGCAGGAUGAGCCCGCGGCCUAUCAGCUUGUUGGUGAGGUAAUGGCUCACCAAGGCGACGACGGGUAGCCGGCCUGAGAGGGCGACCGGCCACACUGGGACUGAGACACGGCCCAGACUCCUACGGGAGGCAGCAGUGGGGAAUAUUGCACAAUGGGCGAAAGCCUGAUGCAGCGACGCCGCGUGAGGGAUGACGGCCUUCGGGUUGUAAACCUCUUUCAGCAGGGAAGAAGCGAAAGUGACGGUACCUGCAGAAGAAGCGCCGGCUAACUACGUGCCAGCAGCCGCGGUAAUACGUAGGGCGCGAGCGUUGUCCGGAAUUAUUGGGCGUAAAGAGCUCGUAGGCGGCUUGUCGCGUCGGUUGUGAAAGCCCGGGGCUUAACCCCGGGUCUGCAGUCGAUACGGGCAGGCUAGAGUUCGGUAGGGGAGAUCGGAAUUCCUGGUGUAGCGGUGAAAUGCGCAGAUAUCAGGAGGAACACCGGUGGCGAAGGCGGAUCUCUGGGCCGAUACUGACGCUGAGGAGCGAAAGCGUGGGGAGCGAACAGGAUUAGAUACCCUGGUAGUCCACGCCGUAAACGGUGGGCACUAGGUGU